CAGAGUUGCAAAACUCCCAACCCUUUGUGAACGUACUGAAAAGUUGCUUCGGCGGGAGGCUCCUCAGGGAGCGGACCGCCGGAGGAAUCCAAACUCUUGUUUUUUUUUGGCAUCUCUGAGUAGCUUAUAAAUAAGUUUA
This 139-nucleotide unclassified non-coding RNA is filed under the name soil metagenome. RNAcentral's name for it is "partial internal transcribed spacer 1". The record is from RNAcentral.